UAGUCCACGCCGUAAACGAUGUCAACUAGCCGUUGGGUCCAUUUAAGGGCUUAGUGGCGCAGCUAACGCGAUAAGUUGACCGCCUGGGGAGUACGCCGGCAACGGUAAAACUCAAAUGAAUUGACGGGGGCCCGCACAAGCGGUGGAGCAUGUGGUUUAAUUCGAUGCAACGCGAAAAACCUUACCUACCCUUGACAUCCUCAGAACUUGUUAGAGAUAACUUGGUGCCUUCGGGAACUGAGUGACAGGUGCUGCAUGGCUGUCGUCAGCUCGUGUCGUGAGAUGUUGGGUUAAGUCCCGCAACGAGCGCAACCCUUGCCCUUAUUUGCCAGCGGAUUAUGCCGGGAACUCUAAGGGGACUGACGGUGACAAACCGUAGGAA
RNAcentral lists this ribosomal RNA (382 nucleotides) under uncultured bacterium. RNAcentral's name for it is "bacterial SSU rRNA". It matches the Rfam family "Bacterial small subunit ribosomal RNA", at positions 791 to 1171 of the family's 1533-position model. The record is from RNAcentral.